Molecule: ribosomal RNA, 497 nt
Filed under: uncultured bacterium
Lineage: Bacteria
Description: partial 16S ribosomal RNA
Rfam family: Bacterial small subunit ribosomal RNA
Source: RNAcentral
GAUGAACGCUGGCGGCGUGCCUAAUACAUGCAAGUCGAGCGAACAGACGAGGAGCUUGCUCCUCUGACGUUAGCGGCGGACGGGUGAGUAACACGUGGAUAACCCACCUAUAAGACUGGGAUAACUUCGGGAAACCGGAGCUAAUACCGGAUAAUAUAUUGAACCGCAUGGUUCAAUAGUGAAAGACGGUUUUGCUGUCACUUAUAGAUGGAUCCGCGCCGCAUUAGCUAGUUGGUAAGGUAACGGCUUACCAAGGCAACGAUGCGUAGCCGACCUGAGAGGGUGAUCGGCCACACUGGAACUGAGACACGGUCCAGACUCCUACGGGAGGCAGCAGUAGGGAAUCUUCCGCAAUGGGCGAAAGCCUGACGGAGCAACGCCGCGUGAGUGAUGAAGGUCUUCGGAUCGUAAAACUCUGUUAUUAGGGAAGAACAAAUGUGUAAGUAACUAUGCAUGUCUUGACGGUACCUAAUCAGAAAGCCACGGCUAACUACGUG